This is a long non-coding RNA of Amphibalanus amphitrite, 526 nucleotides long. RefSeq lists it as uncharacterized. The record is from RefSeq and is a predicted model, not a curated record. The transcript has 3 exons. Lineage: Eukaryota; Metazoa; Arthropoda; Thecostraca; Balanomorpha; Balanidae.
GCAGCUACUGUAUGAUGUCAUAGCAAUGACGUCACACUCAAGCCAAUCAGCCUUGAGGAGGAUAGACUCGUCGGACUGUAGCGGUUGUAAACAACUUGUCGCCCCGUGUGUCUGCCCGUGGCGCUAGUUAUCUGUCGAAGUUACCACUGACAAUGCCCAAAACAAGAACAACAAAGGCCCAAAGGUGGCUGUUUGGUAGUGCGCAAAGCUGCUGGUGGUGGUGGACGUCUCUGCCCUGACGCGCGGCGUGCGUCUGCUCAGUGUGGAGGUGCCGCUGACAGCGGUGCCGGCCGGACCGGCUGCCUCUCCGGCGGCCGACAUUGAGCGCGGCACGUGUCCGCCGCCGUUCGGGCCGCUGCAGCUGCUGCAGUCGGCGGCGCAGCUGUCCGUCUCCGUGUCGCUGGCCGUGCCGCUGGACCUGCUGCCGCGGCCGGCGCCGGCGCGCUGCGCCUACGGCCGCCUGCUGGCCGUCGUCUCGCAGCGCGGCCUGCAGCGCAGCGGCGUGCUGCAGCUCAUCCAGCAGCUC